UGAAAAGGAAAUAUCUGACAGAUGACUCAGAAGCUUGCAAGGUUCCCCAACCAGGGAUUGAACCUGGGCCUUGGCAGUGAAAGCGUGGAGUCCUAACCACUGGACUGCCAGGGAAUUCCCUGGAACCCAGCGUGGAGUCUGUGCCAAGGCCACAGGUGCAAGACCUUUCACCAAGGCCACAGACACGGAGCCCAGAACCAACAUCACCUCCGAAGCUGACUGAGAACCUUUGUAACCGUUGCCAAAAGGGCCUCUGAUCAUCACCCACCAGCUUCCUGACCCCACUUGGCAAAAGUGCCCACAUCAGUACUCACCCUCUAGCGCCCUAACCAAUCACCUAUGCCAACUUUCCAGAGGGAAUUAUCUUUGUUUUGAGGCUAUAAAAAUUGACUACUAACCCACGAAGUGUCAGCUCUCUAUUGAGCCAGCUUGCUGUUCUAACUUGUGUCCUGUCGACUUCCCAGGGCUGUUAGGAGGUCAGCUCACCGUGCUCACAGCCCUCGCGUUACCUCUGCUCUUAAUAAACCCACUCCUUUCUGC
Long non-coding RNA from Bos taurus (domestic cattle), 540 nucleotides. The record is from Ensembl. Lineage: Eukaryota; Metazoa; Chordata; Mammalia; Artiodactyla; Bovidae.